UGCCAGCAGCCGCGGUAAGACGAGAGGCCCAAGCGUUACUCGGAAUCACUGGGCUUAAAGGGUGCGCAGGCGGACUGGUAGGUGUGCUGUGAAAUCCCCCGGCUCAACCGGGGAACUGCGGUGCAAACCACCAGUCUUGAGGUAUGUAGAGGCUGUCGGAACGUUCGGUGGAGCGGUGAAAUGCGUAGAUAUCGAACGGAACGCCAAAGGUGAAGACAGGCAGCUGGGCAUUACCUGACGCUCAGGCACGAAAGCGUGGGGAUCAAACAGGAUUAGAUA
This 279-nucleotide ribosomal RNA is filed under the name uncultured bacterium. Its description in RNAcentral is "partial 16S ribosomal RNA". It matches the Rfam family "Bacterial small subunit ribosomal RNA", at positions 506 to 784 of the family's 1533-position model. The record is from RNAcentral.